This is a long non-coding RNA of Toxorhynchites rutilus septentrionalis, 718 nucleotides long. RefSeq lists it as uncharacterized. The record is from RefSeq and is a predicted model, not a curated record. The transcript has 3 exons. NCBI's taxonomy places the organism in Eukaryota, Metazoa, Arthropoda, Insecta, Diptera, Culicidae.
CAACAUUCCAUCACCAGAAAGUAAAACGUGGAUUGGUAAAAAAGGCUAGCUGAUUAAUUCGUUAAAAUUCUACCUAAAAUUUAUUUUAUUGUUAUUAAAAAUAGUUUGAUUUAAAACUUAAUUCUAUUGUGCUAAAACCGAAUGCUAAAAAGGGUUAGCGCUACAGGAACCUAUCAAACAUAAUAAAUCGCACGACAGAUAGGAAACGUACAAACGAAAAUUUUAAUCUCUCUCUCUCUCUCGCUGUGAAAUAAAGAGGAUUGAAUUUCGGAAAAAGUGUUUCCAUCGUUGCAUUUUCAACACGACCCAUUUUUAAAGAUGGUGACUGGUGAUGAAAAGUGGAUCACGUACGACAACCUAAAGCGAAAAAAGUUGUGGUCGAUGCGCAGUGAGCCGACCCAAAUCAUCGGCAAGCCCGGAUUGACGGCCAGGAAGGUUUUGCUGUGUGUUUGGUGGGAUUGGAAGGGAAUCAUCCACUAUGAGCUACUUAACUACGGCCAGACCCUCAACUCGGUUCUCUACGGUGAGCAGCUUGACCGUUUGAAGCAGGCGAUUGACCAGAAGCGGCCAGAAAUGAUCGAUAGAAAUGGUGUUGUUUUCCACCAGGACAACGCUCGGCCUCACACAUCUUUGAUGAUCCGCCAGAAGCUACGGGAGCUCGGAUGGGAUGUCCUAUUGCACCCACCGUAUAGUCCGGACCUGGCUCCAAGUUUUUAUC